UGUGUGUGUGUGUGUGUGUGUGUGUGUGUGUGUGUAUGAGUACAGGUGCUUGCAGAGGCCAGAAUAAGACAUCAGAUUCCCUGGAGUCAGUACAGGAGGUUGUAAACUGCCAGUGUAGGUUCUAGGAACCAAACAGGGACCUGCUUUUAACUGCUGCAUUAUCAUCUCUCCAGCCUCCAACUAUAUCUCUAAUUGCUUGAAUGUAAGUAUCUUUGCUGAGCCUUUGCUACACAACUGGCCGACCUUAACAACUUCACAUGCAGUAUCUAAUGCUUGCUGUGUGUUGCAUAUUUCACAUACAUGCAUAGGGUUAGGGUUAGGGUUUGGAACAGAAAGACCCUUCAAAUACCCAUGCCAUAAAGGCUAGGACCCCACUAUAAUACUAUUGGGAGAUGGUGGGAUUUCUGAGAAGUGGGGCCUACUAGGCAGUUACACAUCAUUAAGAGUAUGUCGUGAAGGAGGUUAUGGAACAAUUAUUUCUUUCUCUUCAUCUCUUGUGUCCUAGUUAUGAGGUGUGAUAACUUAUGACAAGCCCCUAAGCAAGGAAGCUAACCCCCAAACUACAGACUGAAUCCCCAAAAACCGUGAGUCAAAAUAAACCUUCUGUUUUUCAAAAUGGGUUCAUUUUAGAUAUUUGUUAUACUAAGAAAAAGCAAGCAGAUUAUUUAGAAACUAUCAAUAAAAUGGAGGGUAACUCUCCCUCUUGAUAGAAAGGGUGAAGAUCAGAACUGAAAUUAACCUGUUGAACUCCCAAGCCUGGGCUGCUACUCACUUCUCUAAAAUGUUAUAGUUUGUGUUUUACUAAAGCCUUUCUCGUUUCCUAGUUUAGUGUGUCAUCCUUUAUUUUGUCAUCAAAACUUUGAAAGUAGAGCACCACGUCCCCCGAUCUUCUUCUGCUCACCGUCCUUGGGGACCCAGAGGUCCUGUUAACACCUCAUAAUAAAUUCCCCACCCCAGCACCAGCCAGAGCUUUUGGCUUCCACGGUUAGCUUGUGUGGCAGUCAACAAUCCCA
RNAcentral lists this long non-coding RNA (1013 nucleotides) under Mus musculus (house mouse). Its description in RNAcentral is "long non-coding RNA chr1:177474593-177475606". Lineage: Eukaryota; Metazoa; Chordata; Mammalia; Rodentia; Muridae. The record is from RNAcentral.